AGUGAACGCUGGCGGUAGGCCUAACACAUGCAAGUCGAACGGCAGCACAGGAGAGCUUGCUCUCUGGGUGGCGAGUGGCGGACGGGUGAGGAAUACAUCGGAAUCUACUCUGUCGUGGGGGAUAACGUAGGGAAACUUACGCUAAUACCGCAUACGACCUACGGGUGAAAGCAGGGGACCUUCGGGCCUUGCGCGAUUGAAUGAGCCGAUGUCGGAUUAGCUAGUUGGCGGGGUAAAGGCCCACCAAGGCGACGAUCCGUAGCUGGUCUGAGAGGAUGAUCAGCCACACUGGAACUGAGACACGGUCCAGACUCCUACGGGAGGCAGCAGUGGGGAAUAUUGGACAAUGGGCGCAAGCCUGAUCCAGCCAUACCGCGUGGGUGAAGAAGGCCUUCGGGUUGUAAAGCCCUUUUGUUGGGAAAGAAAUCCAGCUGGCUAGUACCCGGUUGGGAUGACGGUACCCAAAGAAUAAGCACCGGCUAACUUCGUGCCAGCCGCCGCAGAAA
This 506-nucleotide ribosomal RNA is filed under the name uncultured bacterium. RNAcentral's name for it is "partial 16S ribosomal RNA". It matches the Rfam family "Bacterial small subunit ribosomal RNA", at positions 29 to 523 of the family's 1533-position model. The record is from RNAcentral.